Molecule: long non-coding RNA, 15320 nt
Organism: Eriocheir sinensis (Chinese mitten crab)
Lineage: Eukaryota; Metazoa; Arthropoda; Malacostraca; Decapoda; Varunidae
Exons: 4
Source: RefSeq, a predicted model, not a curated record
CAAAAAUAAAUAUAUCUAACCUUAUUGACAAAGCUAAACUCAGGCCAGGUCGAGAGAGGUCAUUUGAAGGGCCUGGACACAGUAACCAAGGGCGAAAUAGGUCAUAGCAAGGGGUCAAAUAUUUAAACUCAGGCCAGGUCGAGAGAGGUCAUAUGAACGACCUGGACACAGUAACUGAAGGGGGCAUACAAGGUCAUUAUAGCAAGGGGUCAAAUAUUUAAACUCAGGCCAAGUUGAGAGAGGUCAUACGAAGGGCCUGGACACACAGUAACUUAAAGGUCGUACAGGGUCAUAGCAAGGGGUCAAACAUGUAAACUCAAGCCAGGUCAAGAGAGGUCAUACGAAGGGCCUGGACACACAGUAACUAAAAGGUCAUACAGGGUCAUAGCAAGGGGUCGUGUAGUAUGUGGUAUAAACAAUAGUGGUGUCUUAGUUAAGUGUUUAUAUUAAUAUGUUAUCGUCAACAACGCCGACGCUGCUCUGGGCUGUGGAAGAAGGGCGGCGUCUGCACGUAACAACACAUGGCAGUAAUUCACCAUCAUUAUUUAUUGAUUUAUUUAUACAGUCAGCAAGAGUCUGUUUUUGUUCAUUCAAUUACGACAAAGUAUAAAGUUGACUGGCUCUGUUGUUUCUGGUCACUCAAUUAUGACAAAGUACAAAGUCGACUGUGGCUCUGUUGCUUCUGUUCAUUCAGUUACGACAAAGUACAAGUUGACUGUGGCUCUGUUUGUGUUCACUCAAAUACGGCAAAGUACAAAGUCGCCUGUGAUUUCAACUUACAGAAAAGGUUGCCAGUCACUUGAUGAUAUUACAGUGAUUAAGUUAAUAAUGGAAAUCUGUCAGUCACAUAAUAAUUGCAAUGCCUUAUCUUAACACAGCCACUUAUCAAUGCUGUAGUUAACAUUGCAAGCCUGUCAGCCACUUAUCAAUGCUUCAAUUUAUUGGAAACUUCAGUCAUAUAAUAAUUCCAAUGCUUUACUUAACAUUGCAAACCCAACAGUCCCUUCAUACUUACAAGACUUUACUUACUUCCAUACUUUACUUCACUUUAGACUUUACUAACUUUACUUUACAGCCCCUUAAAAUCCUUCCUCACUCUUCUCAACCUCAGGAAUAGCUCGACAAAUCAGAACAAGUAUUGAUAUUAAACAUGAGUGAGUGAGUGGCCGACAGCCGUUCGUCCGAGCCCCAGAGCAUCGCCGUUUAAUAAUUUGUGCUUUAUCACUAUAUCGACAUUUGAGACAAACCCCAGAGCAGGGAGAUGGGGCGGACAGGGGGGCGGGAGGCUAGCUACGUAAGUCCGCCAUGCCGUCGACGCCCCCCUCAAGUUAGGUUACGCCCGGCAGCCAGCACGCACCGCCCCAGACUUAGUGCUUGCAUUGGGGUGAGAUGACUUAUUUUUUUAUUUUUUAUUUUUUUUGCUAUUGGGAUCAGAAACAACUUAUUUUUUUCUUUCUAUCUCUCUCUCUUUUCCUUUUUUUCUUUUUGUUUUGCCCAUGGGGGUCGGCAGGCAAGUGUUUACAGUGGCGACAUCUUGCUUGGACGAGAGAAGGGAGGUUGCGAGAGACGGUGUUUGCGGAGUUGUUGAGAAUGUUCGGUGUUUUUCGUCUCCAAGUCAGCGCGUCUUUCCAGAGGUUGUGUUUGUAUACUCGUGCGAAAGUCAGACAUGUUUUUUUCACGAUCAGGAACGUUGGAAGUAGUUUUCUGUUGUUACUACCGUAAGACUGUUAGUAGUUAGUAGUUAGUUAUGGGAGCGGUGAGUAGCGGGCUUUUUUUUUUAUUUUUUUGCACUUUUUGUUGCCCUUGAGCCGUCCCCUUUGUUGUAAAAAAAAAAAAAAAAAGUAGCCUUAGUAACCUUGCAAACUUCCGAGGCUUAGUCAAUCAACCCCCAAAGGCUCUCACAGGUGUCAGAGUUUCCAUUGGUGGUGUCCUGAGCCUGGCGUAGCUUUGCAAGGCUUCCGCUCUGUGUACGUAAAAAAACACUCUUGACGGCCACAGAUAUUUGAGCGUAAAAUCCUUCCCUUAUCAUUGGUCGCGAAGCCGUAAGGUAACACAGACUUUUUCAUGGUGGGAAGGUACCUGCUGGCUAUUACAAGUCCAACACGUGAUCAGGCCGUGGUGAAUAACAACUGCUUCUACCUCAUUACAAGCACUUUAGGUCAUCAUUCGUAGCUUCAGAAGGACCGGCGCUCUCUCUUAGGGGUCACAAUACUUCCCUUAAUAACAGUACUAUAGCCUUAAGGUCCCAUAUCGGCCCUUACAUGAGUAUACACAAUAGUUUUCGCCUUUAUUUGCAAGCAUGUUAGUUGGGUUGGUGUGAGCAAGCUGCCGACGAAACCAGUGAUUUUAAACUCAAUUUUUUUUUCUUCGAACUAUUUAUAAUAUUUACACACACACACACACACACACACACACACACACACACACACACACACACACACACACACAUCUUUAGUUCAUGUGUGUGUGUGUGUAGAGGAAGUCACUAUGUGUGUGUGUGUGUGUGUGUGCGCGCUUUCUUACGAUUGAAAUUGGUGAGGUAAGAAACACACACACACACACACACACACACACACACACACACACACACACACACACACACACACACACACACACACAAUCGUGGAGGUGAUAUCUAUACCCCUAGCCAGUCUAUCUGUCUAUUGAAUUCACAACUGACUGACUGACUGACUGACUGCAAAUUAGCUUAAUCAUAUCUUUGGAGACUUACUGACUGACUGACUGACCAACCCACCAACUGACUGACUGACUGACUGGCUAGGGUACAGAGAGAGUGACACCUCUAGACUAAACCUUGCGUCAAAAUGUAUUAAAGCGAAAUCAAUGCCGUUUGUCGACUCGUAAUAAUAAUAAUGAUAAUGAUAAUAAUAAUAAUGAUGGUAGUAUAUUAGAUAGACAGACAGGCACCAAUGACAACAAUGAUAAUUAUAAUGAUCGUAAUAAUGAGUUUAAUCGAACCUCAACAACAACAAGUCUGCAAGUGGUCUAGGGUCCGACGGCUAGUUAUUUUUAUUUAUUUUUUUUGUUUUUUUUUUUCGUCUCUGGACUUCAUCUUCUUCUUCCUUGGACUGGCUGGCGGACCCUCGACUGCUUGCCCGCGCCCCCCAUAUUAAUAUUUUUUCUCUCAUACGUAAAUAUAUUAUUGUUAUUAUUAUUAUUUACAAACGUCGUCAUAUAUAAUCUUUUUUUAUUUAUUUAUUUAUUGUGAUUUGCUACGCCUCUUCGGUAUGUACGUAAAUUAUUCUGUAUUCUCUCCGAUGCUGGGAUGUACGUAUCACAGUCCUACUACGCGCACACACUCGCAUACACACACACGUACACACGCACACACGAAAAACAACAAAACGCUUCAUAGCCUCGUAAAUAUUUUUGAUUUGACACGAUCACUUUUUUUUUUUUGAGGAAUAUUACGUCUUCGGCGCGCGCACACACACACACACACACACACACAAGCACAAACAGCUCUAAAAUCGUCAAUUCUACUAUUACGUAAUUAAAAUGAAUUAUCCUACACGAAACACGACCAUUUUUUUUCGACACAAACGCACAGCAAAAAGAAGCAGUUAGGUAUUAGUUGAGUUCCUACUUCUACUUUCUGACAUGGAGAUUUUUAGACUACCCUACGAUGUUGGUUGCGGUAUGCAUGUAUGUAUGUAUGUAUAUUUGAGAUGGUCGGGCAUGAAAGAUUCUUUAUAAUACGGCGCUGGCUGGCUGCGGAAUAAUGCAUGUAUAUGUCUAUGCAUGUUCGGAAUGACCUGGCAUGAACAUUGCAUGGAGUGCCGCAGACGAUGUGUUUUGGCGCAGGAGAGGGCAAGGCUUGGGCACGGGGCGGCACAGCAUUGGCACAGUAUUCACCAUGUUGUAAUGUUAGCGGCAGGAGUCUUCCCUCGAGCACCCAGCUUCAUCGCCUCCCCCCUACAGCCUCUGCCUCUCUCCUGCUCCCCACACACACAGCUUUACGUAUAUGACAAUGGCAAUGACAGAGUGAGGUGGUCGCAGUGAUCAAAGACAAGAUAUCUCUCCUUAAGUAGUGCAGCUAUCUACUUUACCUAACUGUAUGGUGUGUGUAGUAUGCAUCUGGUAUCUAAGUAUAAAGUAUCUAGUGAAGAGUUUGGAGACAUGGCUACGAAUAGUCUUUUGAGAUAGACGAUUUUUUGUUUUGUUUUGUUUAUUUUUUAACGCCUCUCGGAUCAUCUGUUCCCCUGCGUCACAUUGAAACCAAGCGUCUGUCUGUAGUGGUAGUGGUAACCCAUACACACACACACACACACACGCAGACACACAGACUUGCUUUACUCAUGCGUUCUCUCUCCUGGUUCAAAGGGGAAAGGAGAAGGAAGGGAAAGGAGUGGGAGGAGGAGGAGGAGGAGGAUUUUGUGUGUGCAUCUCUGGUGAAAAAAUCGUCCCUUCACUCGCCUAUAUAAAAAAUCAACAUUACCGAAAAAUAAGUCCUCUUCCGAAAAAUAAGUCCUCGUUUCCGACUUCGCUUCUUCGACAACAUCACAGACUCUUACCCCUUCCCCUCCUUCCCUCCCCCUCCCCCCUCCCUUCCUUUUUUUUCAUAUUUCUCUUUUUUUUUUCUUUCUUUAGUCUAUUUCCCUCUCCCUCUCCCUUUCCUUCCCCUCCCUUUCUUCUCCCUCCCUCCCUCCCUUCUGUUGCCUUACACAGCUUAGUAUAAAUGACUAGGCCUCUUCAGACUGUUAUGUGUGUACCUCAAAUACACACACACACACACACACACACACAGUCAUCCGAAAACCUAGAUACAGUUUAAAGAUAUAUUCAGUUUCCUACACGCUACAAAGAUACAGGUUUGAGCACAGAGAUUAUUGUUGAAUGAGGAGGAGGAGGAGGGAAGGAGGGGUGCACAAUUUCCAAGGGACAUCACAUUGCCACCUCUACCUCUAACACUCUAUGACCCACCCUCUGCAAUUACCCAAGGGAGGACUCUGUUGCCACCUUGACCUAGCUUAACCUUGCAUCAGACUUUAUAUAAUUUCAACUUAGUUUUCUUCCUCUUACGAACAGACUCCCAAGGGGCUUCACAUUGCCACCACAACCUCUGAACACACUACACCCUGCCCUUUGCAAUUACCCAAGGGAGGACUCUGUUGCCACCUUGACCUAGCUUAACCUUGUAUCAGACUUUAUAUAAUUUCAACUUAGUUUUCUUCCUCUUACGAACAGACUCCCAAGGGAUUUCACAUUGCCUCCACAACCUCUAACACUCUAUGACCUACCCUCUGCAAUUACCCAAGGGAGAACACUAUUGCCACCUUGACCUAACUUACCCUUGCAUCAGACUUUACAUAAUUUCGACUUAAGUUUCUUCCUCAUACGAACAGACUCCCAAGGGACUUCACAUUGCCUCCACAACCUCUAACACUCUACAACCCACCCUCUGCAAUUACCCAAGGGACACUAUUGCCACCUUGACCUAACUUAACCUUGCAUCAGACUUUAUGUAAUUUCAACUUAGUUUCCUUCCUUUUACAAACAGACUCCCAAGGGACUUCACAUUGCCACCAUAACCUCUUAACACUCCACGACCCACCCUCUGCAAUUACCCAAGGGACACUAUUGCCACCCUGACCUAACUUAACCUUGCAUCAGACUUUAUGUAAUUUCAACUUAGUUUUCUUCCUCUUACGAACAGACUCCCAAGGGAUUUCACAUUGCCUCCACAACCUCUAACACUCUACGACCUACCCCCUGCAAUUACCCAAGGGACACUAUUGCCACCUUGACCUAACUUAACCUUGCAUCAGACUUGACAUAAUUUCAACCUAGUUUCCUCCCUUUUACAAACAGACUCCCAAGGGACUCCACCAUGCCUCCUCUACCUAACUUAACCCUGCAUUAGACUAUAUAAUUCUGAUGGUAUUUUCUCAGGGAGGGAGUGUUCGUAUGUGAGUACAUUGGAAUGCUGUACGUAUUUGGGUGUAUUUGUAUUCAUGUUUGAGUUAUUAUUUAUAGAAAUCCAAGUACUGUAUUCUCAUUGGAACUGGAAUGCAAGGGAAAGGUAUUUGUAUUGUGCGAUUAAUGUAAUGUAUUUUGCUACCUUGCUUGCGACAUCGAUUUUGCUGUCGAAAUCUAUUAAGUGUGGCUGUCAUAAGGAGUUGUCGUAUCUGUUUCAUCUAUAUACAAAAAAAUGGUAGCAGUUGUCAAUAGAGCGUUUGUGAAUAUUUCAAAAUUUGUUAUCGUAAAUGUCAGCUGCUGUUCCUCACAAGUCUAGCCUCCUGGGCAGACGUGUAUAAUGAGAAUAAAAGCGUAUAUAUGACAGGAAGCAGUGAAAAAUUAUAAGCAGAAAUAUAGACAGACAUGUAAACUUAAACUAGACAACACAAAAAGAAAACGAAUCAAAUUUAUAGUGGUCGUGUGCAGCACCACAGGGUCACAAGCUCUUGUUACUGUUGCAUACCUCCAGUACUCUUGAACUAUAGCCAGUUACAUUAGGAAGGCGUCUGUCAAUAAAAAGUAUUCAUGGAUACAUUCAAAAAGUAUUCGUAUUCAUUGGUAUCUGAAGUAUUCGUAUUCAUUGGUAUCUGAAGUAUUUGUAUUCAUUGGUAUCUGAAGUAUUUGUAUUCAUUGGUAUCUGAAGUAUUUGUAUUCGAAAACACGACCCUUGUAUUCACGCCAUCCUUGAUUUUUCUUCUAGCGACAGACUGAAAGCAGAAUAUUGGUGAUGCAUAAAACAGUUAAAAAAAAAGAAGGAAAAGAUGAAGUAAUGAAGCCUAGACAGACAUCUCCCUUUGCAUCAGACUAUGUAAUUUCAAUGUCCGUUUUCUUCCUCUUAUGAACAGAUUGAAUGGAAGAGGAUAUGGGUGACAGGCAAGAGAGAGAGAGGACUGACUGACUGAUUGUGGACCUGGUGUCAUCUACCCUUCCCUUCCCUUACACGAGUCCAGAGUUGAGCGUCAUGAGGUGAGUGAGUGAGUGACAUAUGUACGUAUACAAAAAUUAGUUGUUAGCAAUAGAGUGUUAGUUAGCUUAAGUACGUAAAUAGCUACCUUGCUUACGACAUCGAAUUUGCUGUCAGAAUCUACAAAGUGUGGCUGUCGUAAGGAGUUGUAAUUACUUUCUAUAGAUAAACGUUAGUAGUUAUCAAUAGAGCGUUAGUUAGUUUAAGUACGUAAAUAGCUACCUUGCUUAUGACAUCGAAUUUGCUGUCAGAAUCUAUAAAGUGUGGCUGUCGUAAGGAGUUGUAACUACUUUAUAGACAAACAUUAGUAGUUAGUUAUCAAUAGAACGUUAGUUAGCUUAAAUACGUAAAUAGCUACCUUGCUUACAACAUUGAUUUUGCUGUCGGAAUCUACAAAGUGUGGCUGUCGUAAUGAGUUGUCGUAUCUGUUUCGUCAAUAUACAAAAAUUAGUAGUUAUCAAUAGAGUGUUAGUUAGCUUAAGUACGUAAAUAGCUACCUUGCUUACGACAUCGAUUUUGCUUUCGGAAUAUUCAAAGUGUGGCUGUCGUAAGGAGUUGUUGUAUCUGUUUUGUCUGUAUACAGAAAUUAGUAGUUAUCAAUAGAGCGUUAGUUAGCUCAAGUACGUAAAUAGCUACCUUGCUUACGAUAUCGAAUUUGCUGUCGGAAUCUACAAAGUGUGGCUGUCGUAAGGAGUUGUCGUAUCUGUUUCGUUUCUAUACAAAAAUUAGUAGUUAUCAAUAGAGCAUUAGUUAGCUUAAGUACGUAAAUAUCUACCUUGCUUACAACAUUGAUUUUGCUGUCGGAAUCUACAAAGUGUGGCUGUCGUAAGGAGUUGUCGUAUCUGUUUCGUCUGUAUACAAAAAUUAUUAGCAGUCAUCAAUAGAGUGUUAGUUAGCUUAAGUACGUAAAUAUCUACCUUGCUUACGACAUCGAUUUUGCUUUUGGAAUCUACAGAGUGUGGCUGUAGUAAGGAGUUGUCGUAUGUUUCGUCCGUAUACAAAAAUUAGUAGCAGUCGUCUAUGGAGUGCUAGUUAGCUUACGUACAUAAAUAUCUACCUUGCUUUCGACAUUGAUUUUACCGUCGGAAUCUACAAAGUGUGGCUGUCGUAAGGAGUUGUAAUUACUUUCUAUACACAAAAAGUAGUGUUCGUCAUCUACAGGGAAGGUUACUUAAAUACCCGAUGUCUACCUUGCUCAAAACAUUACGACCUUCCUUACGAUUUUUAAUUUUCCUGCCAUAUCGGUCAUACAAACUACAAUGUGUGGCCGCCGUAAGCAGUUGACGUAUCCCUUUUAUCUAUAACACAACAGCUUCCCUCUUUUGUCUGCAUAAGUCAAUACGUAAAUCAAUAUUGGUGUGAGCUUUCCUAUUAUCGGUAUUUUAUUUAUUUUUUCCUCCUCUGACGAGAUGAAACUAAGUCCUCAUUUCUUACAACACAACAGCUUCCCUUUUUUGUCUGCAUAAGUCAAUACGUAAAUCAAUAUUGGUGUGAGCUUUCCUAUUAUCCAGUAUUUUAUUUAUUGUUUCCUCCUCUGACGAGAUGAAACUAAGUCCUCAUUUCUUACAACACAACAGCUUCCCUCUUUUGUCUGCAUAAGUCAAUACGUUAAUCAAUAUUGGUGUGAGCUUUCCUAUUAUCUGGUAUUUUAUCUUUUCCUCCUUUGACGAGAUGAAACUAAGUCCUCAUUUCUUAAACACAAUAGCCUUCCACUUUCUCUGCAUCAAUCAAUACAAAAAGAGAGUUAGUUCUUUAGAGGGCAAGUUAGCUCAAAUACACGAUAGCUAUUUUACGUACCUACGACAUUUUGCUGCUGGAUCGAUUGUACAAAGCGUAGUUGUCACAAGCAGGUCUAUCCACCUCGUCUGUUUACAAAAACUAGUUACGGUAAACUGUAUGGGGUUAGAUUAAGUGUUCUCGAUAGCUACCGCUCUUAUAAGAUUGAUUUUUGCCGCCGGAUUGAGUACAGAGUGUGGGCGUCAUAAGCGGUUAUUGUGUUUGUUUCGCCUAUAUAGAAAAAGUGGUCGUCUUCAGGGAGGGUCUUGUCAGGUUAAGUACGCAAUAAUGACCUUUCUUACGACAUUACGACCUUGCUUCCGACCUUGAUUUUGCCACUCCAUAACAACUUUCUUCCAAAAUUACGACCCUGCUUACGACCUUGAUUUUGCCACUCAAUAACGACCUUUCUUACAACAUUACAACCUUGCUUAUGACCUUGAUUUUGCCACUCAAUAACACUCUUUCUUACAACAUUACGACCUUGCUUACGACCUUGAUUUUUGCUGUUGGAUUGGUCACCUUCUCCAUAUACAAAAAGUACUCGUAGUCAUCUUCAAGGAGAGGUUUAGUCAGGUUAAGUACUCAAUAACAACAUUUCUUACGACAUUACAACCUUGAUUUUGCUGUCGGAUUGGUCACCUUCUCUAUACGUAUACAAAAAGUACUCGUAGUCAUCUUCAAGGAGAGGUUUAGUUAGCUUAAGUACUCAUUAACGACAUUUCUUACGACAUUACAACCUUGAUUUUGCUGUCGGAUUGGUCACCUUCUCUAUACGUAUGCAAAAAGUACUCGUAGUCAUCUUCAAGGAGAGGUUUAGUCAGGUUAAGUACAGUAUUUGAGAGCUACCUAUCCAGAUACGUUCAUUGAUUUCACCCUCCUCCUUAAGGUUAGGUUAGGUUAGGUUAAGUUUUCCUACAUUCAUUCACCCUUGGAUAGUUCAGUGUAUGUAUUCCAUGUGAACUAUUUCCCUUAUCUGUGCUACAAGUAAAGAUAUGGGUCACUCUCUGCCCCCUGGUAAAAGAGAGAGGUCACAACAUUCACCAACAGCAAGUUUAGUCUAUUUCCUUCAUCUGUCUAGCAUACAAAUUCGUAAAGAUAAGACUUGCCUCUCAUCCACCCAUAGCAAGCAUUCAGUCUCCUCCCUUCACCUGUACAACUUCUACUGUGCAAAAAUAUACAUCUUCCCAUCUUCUCUGGUGCUCUCUCUCCCUUCCUUCCUUCCUUCCUUACCCUUUCCUCUCCUCCCUUACCCUUUCUUCCUCUCUCUUCCUCUCUCUUCCCUCCCUUGCCAAUUCAUCCCUUCCGCCUCCUUGACACCUUCUCCUCUGGUCAGUGUUCAAGUGAGUGCCUUCGCGAGUGUCGAGUCGGCCCUACUUGGCACUAAAUGCCCUGUUCUGUCACUCAUGCAUCAGUGCCGCCCCCUGUGUCGUGGGUGCCGUGUGGAGUCAGGGUGUUCAAGUGCCAGAGUGUGGGUGGUUGUUGGCACUCUCCUAUGCACAGUGCCAAUUGGUGUGGUGUUGUGAGGUGGUUCUUGUGUGUGUGUGCAGAAGGAAGGAAGGAAGGAAGGAAGGAGGGAGGGAUGGAGAAGCUACACACACACACACAUACAAACACACACACACACUAGCUUUCUCUCUCUCUCUCUUUUCCUUACCUUUCUUUCCCUCCUUCUCUCCAUUUCUCUCCCUUGCAAGUUCAUUCCUUUCCUCCACUUUCUCUCCCUUGUCAAAUUCAUUCCCUGGUUUUCUCUCUCCCUUCCUUCCUUCCUUCCGUCCUUACCCUUUCUCCUCCCUUACUCUUUCUUCCUCUCCCUUUCCCUCCUCUUUCCUCCCUUGCCAAGUCAUCCCUUCCUCCUCCUCCUCCUCCUCCUCCCUUACAAAUUCGACCAAAGAAAAAGAGAUGGAAACAUUUUAAUCGCGACAUCUUUCCAAAAAUCGGUCGUUACUAGUCUCUCGGAAGGAGUUUAAUAGCUAUUAGUACGUACGUAAAGACGGUCGGCUGGCUAGUUGUGGCGGAGAGGACCUACGCUAGCGAGAACACUAAUAGCAAUGCAUUAUAUCGUCGCGUUGGCUAGUUAUUGAGCGCUAAAGAAGGGUUCCUACGCUAAGUCUUGGCGGAGGCGAAAUCUACGUCACUCUCGUUGCUAAUUCUACUCUAUACGUAAACAGGUUAAGCAGCGUACUCGUAAACGUCUCAGGGUCCCGUUACGCCCGUUUCGCAUGGCCUCGGGGAAGGUUAAUCGGGUUUCCGUGGUUGGUGAUUUUCCCGGUCAAGGUUUUUAAGUGUUUUCUGUCUUUAUUUUCUUUGCUGUUUUCUUUUUUCCUUUCCUCUCCUCUCUCUCCUCUGUCCUCCUCUGCUUCUUCUUCUUUUCUCCUUUCCUCUCUUUUUUUUCCUUCCCUUUCUUUCCUCCUUUUUCUUUCCUCCUCCUCCUCCUCCUCCUCCUUUGUAUUUUCCUCUUUUCCUCUCUUUUUCCCUCCCUUUCUUUCCUCCUUCUCCUCCUCCUCCUCCUCUGUGUCUUCUUUUCCUCUCUUUCCUCUCUUUUUCCCUCCCUUUCUUUCCUCCUUCUCCUCUGCAUCUUCUCUCUUUUUCCCUCCCUUUUUUUCCUCCUCCUCCUCCUCUGUGUCUUCUUUCCUCCUCUCGUCCCUCCCUUUCCUCCCUUCCUUUCCUUUCUGUUCCUGUCACCAGCGUCACAAAACAGUCCAUGUAACUUCUACUACGAGAGGCUUUUUAAACGGACGAACGGAGACGACGAGACGUUUACAGAUACGCGGCUUUUUUGGGGAUGUCGUAUCGAACACCAAAAUGAAAGGAAAAGUGUUUGGCUUGAUUGGCCAGGUGUGUGUCGGUACUUAUAAGUGACGUGAGUGUCGCUGAAGUGAUGGUUGUUUCCUCCUUCUUUCUCUUCUUCGUUUUGUUUAUAAUUUUUUUGGGGUUUGGUUUUGUGAGUUUUCGGUUGACGUUUUGACUUUUUUUGUCUGUUUUUCUUCUUUUGUAUUUUCUUCGUCUGUUAAAGUCUUCCCUUUUUGUCUUUCUUUCUUUCUUUGUUUCGUUUUGUCUAUAAUUUAUUUUUUGUUUGGUUUUGUGAGUUUUUGGGUGACGUUUUGAUUUCUUCCGUCUGUGUUUUUCUUCUUUUGUAUUUUCUUCAUCUGUUAAAGUCUUCCCUUUUCGUCUUUCUUUCUUUCUUUGUUUCGUUUUGUUUAUAAUUUAUUUUUUGUUUGGUUUUGUGAGUUUUUGGGUGACGUUUUGAUUUCUUCCGUCUGUGUUUUUCUUCUUUUGUAUUUUCUUCCUCUGUUAAAAUCUUCCCUUUUUGUCUUUCUUUCUUUCUUUGUUUCGUUUUGUCUAUAAUUUUUUUUUUUUUGGUUCGGUCUUGAGUUUUUUUUGAGACGUUUUGAUUUCUUCCGUCCAUGUUUUUCUUCUUUAUUUUCUUCCUCUGCUAAAAUCUUCCCUUUCUUUUUUUUUGUUUCGUUUCGUUGAUAUUUUUUGUUUUUUUUGGUCUGGUUUUGUAAGUUUCUGGGCGACAUUUCGAUUUCUUCCAUCUAUGUAAUUUCUUCUCUUUCUUCUGUUACUUCUUCUUCUUCAUCUUUUUCUUCCAUCUAUACUUUUUUGGGUCUGCUAACCUUCCUAUUCUUCCAUUUAUAGUUUAUUUUUUGUUUUUACUCCAUAUUUCUCAUUUUUCUUUACAUUUCUCUAAUCUGAUAUUCCCUCUUUCUCUCUUUCUAUCUCUUAUUCCUUCUUUCCUUCAUUUUCCUGCUUCCCUUCCAUUCAUUCAUCCCUCCCUCUUUCCUUCCUUCUUUCUUUCCCUUCCUUCUCCCCAUGUUCCCUUCCUUCCCUCUUCCUCCUACCCUUCCGUUGUAAUGGAGAGAGAGAGAGAGAGAGAAAGAAAGAAAAAAGGUCAAACAGUAAUUAUUUAGGAGCUCAAAAAAAGUAAUUAAUCGUAGCUGUUCAUGUUUAUUUAAGUUUCUGCGACUAAUUAAAUAAUAUACUGCCUCUCUGUCCUAUCGGAAGUACUAUCACAAGCCAAUUGAUUCCUUAUUUAUUUGGGAUAUUUACAAGAUUUUACGCUUCUUCUUGUCCUCUCAAAAAAAUUAUCAUACAUCAGGCGUAUUUCUCCUUCGAUAAAUACAUGAAUUGGGUUUGUUGUUUAUUUGUUUGAGGUUAUUAUUGGUCAUCGAAUAUCCUAAGACGCUCUCCAUAUUGUCGUUCUGCGUAAGGUUCCUCCGUCUUUUUGAUACAAAGUCAUUCAUACAUCAAUUAGGUUUUUAUUUAUUUAGUUUUUGAGGUAUCAGAUAGCCUAAGACGCUCUCCAUACUGCCUCUGCCCUCUCGAAAGUAUUAACAGAUGCCAAUAGAUUCCUUAUUUGGGAUAUUUACAAGACUGUCUCCUCUGCUCUUGCUGAAAACUAAGUGUCAUGCAUCAAUUGGGUUUUAUUUUGUUAGUUUUUGAGGUAUCAGAUAACCUAAGAUGCUCUCCAUACUGCCUCUCUGUCCUAUUGAAAAACUAUAAUAUGCCAAUUGAUUCCUUAUUUAUUUGUGAUAUAUACAAGACUGUCUCCUCUGCUCUUGCUAAAAACUAAGUGUCAUGCAUCAAUUGGGUUUUAUUUAGUUAGUCUUUGAGUCAUCAGAUAACCUAAGAUGCUCUCCAUACUGCCUCUCUGUCCUAUUGAAAAACUAUAACAUGGUAAUUAAUUUCUUAUUCGUUUUGUAUAUUUACAAGACUUUCCUGCCCUGCCCUCCCUGAAAACUAAGUGUCAUGCAUCAAUUGGGUUUUAUUUAGUUAGUCUUUGAGGUAUCAGAUAACCUAAGAUGCUCUCCAUACUGCCUCUCUGUUAUUGUUAUUCAUUUGGUAUAUUUACAAGUCUUUCCUGCCCUGCCCUCCCUGAAAACUAAGUGUCAUGCAUCAAUUGGGUUUUAUUUUGUUAGUUUUUGAGGUAUCAGAUAACCUAAGAUGCUCUCCAUACUGCCUCUCUGUCCUAUUGAAAAACUAUAACAUGGUAAUUAAUUUGUUAUUCAUUUGGUAUAUUUACAAGACUUUCCUGCUCUGCCCUCCCUGAAAACUAAGCGUCAUACAUUAAUUGGUUAUGUUAUUUAUUUUUUUGAAGUCAUCAUUGAUUUGCAUUUACCAACACUAUGUCAGUUGGAUUUCUAAUUUUAUUUGGUAUAUUUACAAGACUUUCCUGCCCUGCCCUCCCUGAAAACUAAGCGCCAUACAUUAAUUGGUUAUGUUAUUUAUUUUUUUUAAGUCAUUAUUGAUUUGCAUUUACCAUCACUAUGUCAGUUGGAUUUCUCAUUUUCUUUGAUAUCUUUACGAGACUUUCCUGCUCUGCCCUCCCUGAAAACUAAGCGCCAUACAUUAAUUGGUUAUGUUAUUUAUUUUUUUGAAGUCAUUAUUGAUUUGCAUUUACCACCACUAUGUCAGUUGGAUUUCUCAUUUUAUUUGGUAUAUUUACGAGACUUUCCUGCUCUGCCCUCCCUGAAAACUAAGCGUCAUACAUUAAAUUGGGUAUUGGUUAUUUAUUAUUUUGAAGUCAUUGAUUUGCAUUUGCCACCACUAUGUCAGUUGGAUUUCUCAUUUUCUUUGAUAUCUUUACGAGACUUCCCCCGCCAUCCUUCCAGAAGAAAACUAACACAUUAACAAAAUUUACAAGAUCACUGAUUAUAAUCAUUAAACAGCCUUGGCUUGACAUUAACAAAACAGCUGUUAAUACUAAUCAUUUUGAACUCAGAAUCGACUGUAAUUGAAUCUCUAUAAUGUCUCCCCUGUUUGAUAUGAGACUUUCUGCACCACCCUGUUGAAAAAGAAAACCCAUCAUGCCACAUCAAUUGAAUUUCUCCUUUUGUUUGGAUUAUUUACGAGACUCCCACGCUGUCUGUCCUGUCGGAAAAGAAUCUAUCACAUACCAAUUGUUUUCUCCUAUAUUUGGUGUGUUUGCGAGACCUUCCAUGCACACGUCAAUUGAAUUUCAUGUUUAUUUUGAUAUUGGCAAGACUUUCCGCUCCCUCUAUCCCACUGAAAAAAACAACAACUCCCAUGUCAAUUGAAUUUUGCCCUUUAUAUGAUUAAUUUACAUGACUUCCCAUGCACACCAAUUGAAUUUCCUAUUUAUUUUGAUAUUGGCAAGACUUUCCGCUCCCUCCGUCCCACUGAAAAAAAGAAACUAUCCCACCAGUCAAUUGUUUCCUUCUCUUUAAGUUCCUAACCAUUCUCUCUUUUUUUCCUCUCCUUUCCUCUACUCACCUAUCCUAAUGUGUCCUCUCCUCCUUCCUAGUAUUAGUCAACAGUUAAGUAUAAUAAUCUUUUAAAACUCCACGCACUACUAACUUUGAACGACCAGAACUAAAACUCAUCUAAGUAGCUUGACUCUGCAGCGGCGAUGGUGUGUGUGUGUGUGUGUGUGUGUGUGUGUGUGUGUGUGUGUGUGUGUAAAUUCAUCCAUAGUCUGAUCAUGAGCAAAGCCAGGCAGUGCAGAGCUUUACCACUGAGCUACCGGAGUGGUGGGUGUGUGUGUUUUUGUAGCCUUUUGAUUGGUGUAUUUGAGCGGCAACGGUGUGUGUGUGCGUGCGUGUGUGGGAGGGGGCUUGAGUCAAUCUUCGAGUGUCGA